RNAcentral lists this ribosomal RNA (670 nucleotides) under Stenotrophomonas sp. RNAcentral describes it as "bacterial SSU rRNA". It matches the Rfam family "Bacterial small subunit ribosomal RNA", at positions 88 to 754 of the family's 1533-position model. Lineage: Bacteria; Pseudomonadati; Pseudomonadota; Gammaproteobacteria; Lysobacterales; Lysobacteraceae. The record is from RNAcentral.
GUGGCGAGUGGCGGACGGGUGAGGAAUACAUCGGAAUCUACCUUUUCGUGGGGGAUAACGUAGGGAAACUUACGCUAAUACCGCAUACGACCUUCGGGUGAAAGCAGGGGACCUUCGGGCCUUGCGCGGAUAGAUGAGCCGAUGUCGGAUUAGCUAGUUGGCGGGGUAAAGGCCCACCAAGGCGACGAUCCGUAGCUGGUCUGAGAGGAUGAUCAGCCACACUGGAACUGAGACACGGUCCAGACUCCUACGGGAGGCAGCAGUGGGGAAUAUUGGACAAUGGGCGCAAGCCUGAUCCAGCCAUACCGCGUGGGUGAAGAAGGCCUUCGGGUUGUAAAGCCCUUUUGUUGGGAAAGAAAAGCAGUCGGCUAAUACCCGGUUGUUCUGACGGUACCCAAAGAAUAAGCACCGGCUAACUUCGUGCCAGCAGCCGCGGUAAUACGAAGGGUGCAAGCGUUACUCGGAAUUACUGGGCGUAAAGCGUGCGUAGGUGGUUGUUUAAGUCUGUUGUGAAAGCCCUGGGCUCAACCUGGGAAUUGCAGUGGAUACUGGGCGACUAGAGUGUGGUAGAGGGUAGUGGAAUUCCCGGUGUAGCAGUGAAAUGCGUAGAGAUCGGGAGGAACAUCCAUGGCGAAGGCAGCUACCUGGACCAACACUGACACUGAGGCAC